Molecule: ribosomal RNA, 496 nt
Filed under: uncultured bacterium
Lineage: Bacteria
Description: partial 16S ribosomal RNA
Rfam family: Bacterial small subunit ribosomal RNA
Source: RNAcentral
GAUGAACGCUGGCGGCGUGCCUAAUACAUGCAAGUCGAGCGAACAGACGAGGAGCUUGCUCCUCUGACGUUAGCAGCGGACGGGUGAGUAACACGUGGAUAACCUACCUAUAAGACUGGGAUAACUUCGGGAAACCGGAGCUAAUACCGGAUAAUAUAUUGAACCGCAUGGUUCAAUAGUGAAAGACGGUUUUGCUGUCACUUAUAGAUGGAUCCGCGCCGCAUUAGCUAGUUGGUAAGGUAACGGCUUACCAAGGCGACGAUGCGUAGCCGACCUGAGAGGGUGAUCGGCCACACUGGAACUGAGACACGGUCCAGACUCCUACGGGAGGCAGCAGUAGGGAAUCUUCCGCAAUGGGCGAAAGCCUGACGGAGCAACGCCGCGUGAGUGAUGAAGGUCUUCGGAUCGUAAAACGCUGUUAUUAGGGAAGAACAAAUGUGUAAGUAACUAUGCACGUCUUGACGGUACCUAAUCAGAAAGCCACGGCUAACUACGU